GUGCGAGACCGAUAGCGAACAAGUACCGUGAGGGAAAGAUGAAAAGAACUUUGAAAAGAGAGUUAAAGAGUACCUGAAACUGCUGAAAGGGAAGCGAAUCGUAUCCAGUGUCUAUAAUCUGCGGCAUAUUUCAUUGGCGGCGGUGCGCGUGCUUUUGCGUCGGAAGCGGCUUUUGUUGCUCUGUGCUUUUGCUGUGCGUGGUGUUGCUGGUGCCCUGUGUUGCGGUGGGACGUCAGAGUCAGUUUGUAUGCUGCGGGAAAUGGCUGCCGAGGAGGUAGGUCGAGAUUUCGGUCUUGGCUGUUAUAUCUUGGUGGUUUGUUGUCGUGGUUGAGACUGAGGUGCCUACAAUGUGCUUUUGAGUGUACCGGGUUCUCAUUUGGUGGACUGUUUGGAUAGCUUGCUAUGCUUGUGGUUUUUUCAUCGAGUGAUUGAGUCUGGUGGUAACUUGUUGCUGUUCGGGACUUUGA
RNAcentral lists this ribosomal RNA (467 nucleotides) under uncultured Oomycota. Its description in RNAcentral is "LSU rRNA". The stretch from base 1 to 83 matches the Rfam family "Bacterial large subunit ribosomal RNA", at positions 476 to 559 of the family's 2925-position model. Lineage: Eukaryota; Oomycota. The record is from RNAcentral.